This 483-nucleotide ribosomal RNA is filed under the name uncultured bacterium. Its description in RNAcentral is "partial 16S ribosomal RNA". It matches the Rfam family "Bacterial small subunit ribosomal RNA", at positions 30 to 506 of the family's 1533-position model. The record is from RNAcentral.
AUUGAACGCUGGCGGCAGGCCUAACACAUGCAAGUCGAGCGGAUGAAGGGAGCUUGCUCCUGGAUUCAGCGGCGGACGGGUGAGUAAUGCCUAGGAAUCUGCCUGGUAGUGGGGGAUAACGUCCGGAAACGGGCGCUAAUACCGCAUACGUCCUGAGGGUGAAAGUGGGGGAUCUUCGGACCUCACGCUAUCAGAUGAGCCUAGGUCGGAUUAGCUAGUUGGUGGGGUAAAGGCCUACCAAGGCGACGAUCCGUAACUGGUCUGAGAGGAUGAUCAGUCACACUGGAACUGAGACGCGGUCCAGACUCCGACGGGAGGCAGCAGUGGGGAAUAUUGGACAAUGUGCGAAAGCCUGAUCCAGCCAUGCCGCGUGUAUGAAGAAGGUCUUCGGAUUGUAAAGCACUUUAAGUUGGGAGGAAGGGCAGUAAGUUAAUACCUUGCUGUUUUGACGUUACCAACAGAGUAAGCACCGGCUAACUUCGU